GAUGAACGCUGGCGGCGUGCCUAAUACAUGCAAGUCGAGCGAACAGACGAGGAGCUUGCUCCUCUGACGUUAGCGGCGGACGGGUGAGUAACACGUGGAUAACCUACCUAUAAGACUGGGAUAACUUCGGGAAACCGGAGCGAAUACCGGAUAAUAUAUUGAACCGCAUGGUUCAAUAGUGAAGGACGGUUUUGCUGUCACUUAUAGAUGGAUCCGCGCCGCAUUAGCUAGUUGGUAAGGUAACGGCUUACCAAGGCAACGAUGCGUAGCCGACCUGAGAGGGUGAUCGGCCACACUGGAACUGAGACACGGUCCAGACUCCUACGGGAGGCAGCAGUAGGGAAUCUUCCGCAAUGGGCGAAAGCUUGACGGAGCAACGCCGCGUGAGUGAUGAAGGUCUUCGGAUCGUAAAACUCUGUUAUUAGGGAAGAACAAAUGUGUAAGUAACUAUGCACGUCUUGACGGUACCUAAUCAGAAAGCCACGGCUAACUACGUG
This 497-nucleotide ribosomal RNA is filed under the name uncultured bacterium. Its description in RNAcentral is "partial 16S ribosomal RNA". It matches the Rfam family "Bacterial small subunit ribosomal RNA", at positions 28 to 507 of the family's 1533-position model. The record is from RNAcentral.